ACGUCUAGGGCUACACACGUGCUACAAUGGCCGGUUACAAUGGGAAGCAAAGUCGCAAGGUGGAGCAAAUCCCUCAAAGCUGGUCUCAGUUCGGAUUGGAGUCUGCAACUCGACUCCAUGAAGUCGGAAUCGCUAGUAAACGCGUAUCAGCCACGGCGCGUUGAAUACGUUCUCGGGUUUUGUACACACCGCCCGUCACGCCAAGAUAGUCGGGGAUGCCUGAAGUUGUCCGCAAGGGCACCGAAGGUAGAAUCGAUGAUAGGGGCGAAGUCGUAACAAGGCACCGGUAGCGGAAGCUGUCGGUGGAUCACCUCCUUUCUAGGGAGAAA
This 329-nucleotide ribosomal RNA is filed under the name Candidatus Falkowbacteria bacterium RIFOXYB2_FULL_38_15. RNAcentral's name for it is "bacterial SSU rRNA". It matches the Rfam family "Bacterial small subunit ribosomal RNA", at positions 1204 to 1533 of the family's 1533-position model. Lineage: Bacteria; Candidatus Falkowiibacteriota. The record is from RNAcentral.